UGUUGCGUGCGCUGGGUCGGCUUCCCCGCCUCCCCGCCGCGGCGAGCGUGCCGGGCGCUCGGUGGGCAGCGCAGGAAGGGGGAGAGCUGCGGUCGCCACUGCGUCGUCUUUACCCCGCGUCCCCUCGUUGGUCUCCGACCCCGUGUCUCCGUGGGGGUGGGCAUGCUCUGUUGCCGCACUGAAUGAGGGGCGUGUGGUUGGGGAAGGAGCCGAGGCCCCGGCCGCAAGAGGCGUGGAUUCUCGUCCCGGCCCUGCCGCUAGUUCGUUGUAUGACCUUGGGUUAACCACCUGUCCGCAGUUUCCUCAUCUGUCCAAUGACUCUGAUGCGGGUAAUGCCUGCUUUGCCUACUCUCAAGGAUUCGAUGCGAGGACACCAUGCAGUGCCCUGUGAUUGAUAAAUAGAUCGCUGAUCUCUUAUGCGUGGAGGGUAGUCGGUAGCUGACCUUUUGCGCUUAUCAGACCCCAGAGGUCUGGACGAGGCUGGAGAAGGGGCGUCCUGGGCUUCCUCUGCAGGGUCACGGAGGGAGGGCAUCGCUGGUCUGAAUCAUUAGCCUGGCAGUGGAAUGGAAGGGGACAGUCUCGGGCGGACCACGUUCACCGUAUCGAGCCUAACCGGCCAACACCUUGUCGCAGUGGUCUUGACAGUUGCCAGAGAAGGCGGCAGUGCCUCCGGGUCCUCACUAGGUGGCACUAUCGCAAAGGACAAAGCUGGUUGCAGAGACCAGGAGCUGGCGUUUCUCUGCCAAGGGCAGGCGUUAGCCUGUAGUAGGGCCGGGUGAACUUGGCAGAGCCGACUCAGCGCUCUCAUGGUCCUUACGUUCUAGUGCAAAGAGUCAGAUGCUAGACGAAUGAAUGGCCAGAAGAUCAGACUGGUCAUGUGUUAUCGGAGUGAGCAGAUAUGUUUGUCAGGGGCAGAGUGAGCAACCUUUUCCUUUGACUCGCUCCCAGAAGCGUAGCAUUCUUGUUGUCGGCUCAACAGAUACAUCCCGAGCACUUGCACUUUGCCAGGAACUGAGGUGGGCACUGGGGCUGCAGAGACAAAUAAGAUACGGUCCCUGUGGUGGGUACCUGGCCUCAUUCCUGGCACAAAGGAGGGGCUCCUUACAUGGCAGCUGCUACUCCAUCAUUUUUGUUGUAUUGCUUGUUCCUGCCCUCAGGAGCACACGGUAAUGGAUGAACCGGAGCCGGAUAUAAUCAACUGUAAUACAGUGCUACGGACAAUAGGGGUUGAGAAAGGUAAGGGCCUGGAAGGGUGAAAUUAGGAUUAAUCCCAAGAAAGAAUGUGAAAGUAGAAGUUACUUAGAUGGAAGUGGGGUGACAGUCUGAAAGAUCUCGGCCCUGGAGUGGAAAGGUUGAGAAAAAAGGCCUUAAGACAAAGGAGGAAUGAUUUAGAAGGACUGGCUGAGAGCAUGGACUCAGCCUAGGAGAUUGUGGAGAUACCGACCGCUUUAGCCUGAGGCCCCAGGGUGAGCCUGACAGUAUGGCUCUUUCUGGAGGUCAAUUUAGCAACACAUAAUUAAAUAAUCAUAAACUUUAAAACCUCCGACCCAGCAAUUUCACUUGGAAAUUAUUAAAGGUAUGUACAAAAUGUACCCACAACGGAAUACUGUGCAACUGUUAAAAAUAGUCAUCAAGGAGUGCUUACUGAUAUUUAGAUGUUCGAGAAAAUGUAAAUGAAAAGGGAAGCUUACAAAGCUAUAUUACAGCGCGCUCCUUUUUAAAAAGUAAAAUUAUGCGAUUCAGUUACGUACCCAGUAGAAAUGCAUAUGUUUGUAUGCCAAAACAUGAAUAAGAAUGUUCAUAGAAAUAUUUUUGAUAGUCAAAGUAGGAAACAAGGCAAAUAAGUGAUGGUAUGUUCAUAGAAUGGAAUACCCUCCAGCAGUGAAGAUGAAUAAACCACAACUGCAUUCAGCCAUGUCUGUGAUUCUUACUACCGGAACGUUUUUAAAAAAAUGCACACAAAAGAUCAUGAUUCCAUUGAUAUGAAUUCAUCAGGCAAAGUUACUCUGUGCUGUGGGAAGUCAGAAUAGUGAUUCCUUUUUCUUAGUCAUUUUUUUUUAAUCGUGAGAAAAUACGAACAACACAAAAUGUACCAUUUCAACCAUUUUAAAGUGAACAAUUCAGUAUAUUCGCAGUGUUGUGCGCCCAUGAUCUUUCUCUAGUUCAAGAACUUUAAGCAGUACCCAGUGAGCAGUCACUCCCUUUCCUCCCGGCCUUCACCACGUUGUUUUUGAAGAGGAGGGAAUAAUGACUUGGGUGGGGCGGUCGGGGGGACCUAAUGAGGACUCCCGGAUAUUAGUAGUAGUCUGUUUUUUUAAAAUCUAGGUGGGAAUUAUAUGGCUGUGUUCAUGUUGUGAGAAUUUUAUCUAGCUGCACACUUAUAAUUCAUAUAAUUUUUGUAUGUACAUCUAAGUGCCAUUUGGAGAUAAAUUGAUCGUAACGCCUUUCGAGAGACAAUGUUCCUUACCGCCAGAGGCAAGGAGAGUGGCACUAAACUGCCUGGUCCCUGUUUUGCCUCAGGGCUGAUACUUCUGCGUCUGUCAUCACUCCGUGCGGUCCUAGACCUGGCCUCUCCCUCUGGCUGACCUUCUUCCUGGAGGAUGUGGAAGGGGCACGUGUGGGAGACACAGGGGAGGGGGGGGUUCCAUCUCUCCUUGGCCACUGGGUGGUGCUGAGAGGACUCGCUCCCUGCCAGGCUGGAAUUAAUCUUGAAGUAAAAGCUGGGGAAUUUGAAAAGAGAAGGUAGAGGCCAAGGUGAGCAGGCAGCCUGGACCGGCCUGACGGGAGCACCAGGGAGCAACCACGGGCCUCGAGCGAGCAAACGAUGCUCAGCUCUGUCAAAUUAGAGACAAGCCACACUCCAGGGAGACGUUUUCAGGAAAGAAGACUCCUUCAAUCACUCAGCCUCCACCAAAAGAGGAAAGCACUAAGUAUUGCCUACACACAACCUCUAGGUUCUGACCCAGCUUUGGGGCUUUAGCACCCCUCCACCGCCCCGUGAACCACCCUCCUUUCGCGUCGCAUAAGCGGGACCAGCAGAAGAAUAUCUCCCCCAAAGACCCCUUUUUUCUGGGACCCAGCGCUUCCGCCUCCGGGGCGGAGACUCCUCCCCCUCACCGUCCCCAGUCGUAUUCCCUGGAAGACAGGCGGAAAAGCCUCCGCCGCUCCGACCAGCAUAAGCGAGAAGCGGCUUCCUUUCCGCAGCGCGCUGCUUGAGCCCCAGAACCGCCGCGGCUCCGGCUCCGCAACAUCGAAGACCGCGACCACCACCGGCCCCGGGUCCAAGCCCGGCGCGGGCGGCGCGCGCGGCGCGGGCGCGGCUUCAGCACC
Long non-coding RNA from Pteropus alecto (black flying fox), 3330 nucleotides. RefSeq lists it as uncharacterized. The transcript has 3 exons. The record is from RefSeq and is a predicted model, not a curated record. Lineage: Eukaryota; Metazoa; Chordata; Mammalia; Chiroptera; Pteropodidae.